UACGUAGGGGGCUAGCGUUGUCCGGAUUUAUUGGGCGUAAAGAGCGUGUAGGCGGCCAGGUAGGUCUGGUGUGAAAACUCGAGGCUUAACCUCGAGAUGUCAUCGGAAACCAUCUGGCUAGAGUCCGGAAGAGGAGAGUGGAAUUCCUGGUGUAGCGGUGAAAUGCGCAGAUAUCAGGAAGAACACCAAUGGCGAAAGCAGCUCUCUGGGACGGUACUGACGCUGAGGAGCGAAAGCAUGGGGAGCAAACAGG
This 253-nucleotide ribosomal RNA is filed under the name uncultured bacterium. RNAcentral describes it as "partial 16S ribosomal RNA". It matches the Rfam family "Bacterial small subunit ribosomal RNA", at positions 524 to 776 of the family's 1533-position model. The record is from RNAcentral.